GACGAACCGUGCGAACGUUAUUCGGAAUCACUGGGCUUAAAGCGCGUGUAGGUGGCUUGACACGUCCGUCGCUGAAAUCCCCCGGCUUAACCGGGGAACUGGCGUGGAUACGAUCAGGCUUGAGGGAUGUAGGGGGAUCGGGAACUUCCGGUGGAGCGGUGAAAUGCGUUGAGAUCGGAAGGAACGCCCGUGGCGAAAGCGCGGUCCUGGACAUUUCCUGACACUGAGACGCGAAAGCUAGGGGAGCAAACGGG
Molecule: ribosomal RNA, 254 nt
Filed under: uncultured bacterium
Lineage: Bacteria
Description: partial 16S ribosomal RNA
Rfam family: Bacterial small subunit ribosomal RNA
Source: RNAcentral